ACUGUUGUAGGUGCUGUGGGGCAAGUGAGAUUAAGACCUUGCCCUCUAAGUAAUAUUAAAUAGAUGAUAAUGUGAUAGCAAGUGACAGCUGGAGUGAGAGACUGUGCUUGAGUUAGGGUAAUCAAGAAAGGUCUCAUAGAAGAAGUGGUUAGGUAAGACUGGGUGUAGUCAUGUGAAGAUGUAGAGAAGAACUUUCCAAGCAGAAGAGACACAAAAUGCAAAAGCUAUGAGAUGGGCAAGAGCAUAUGUGUUAAUAAGACAGAAGGAAAGCCUGUGUGGAUGAGCAAUGGGAAAAGAGAAGAGAAAAGAAAAGAAAGAUGAAGUCUGAAGUCUAAGGAACAGGAACAAGUCUGAAUCUUGUACAGCCUUGUAGCCCAUGCAGGAGUCUAAAAACUCAAACGUAUCUAAAAGCCAUGACACAGAAGGCCUGGAGACUGCAUGGAAUGAUGAGGACUGCAGUGAACUCUGAAGUGCCUACCCAUGUGAAACGAACAAGUGCUAUUCGGAAGAAGCAGGUUGUGUUAAUCCAGCAGUUGAAAUUGACAUGUGAGAGUUCUUCUAAGUCCCAGAUGCUAGCUGCCAACUGCCUUUUUGUUCUUGUUUCCUUGGAAACGGAGAUUGGUUUCAUGAAAACAAGGUAAGUACAACUUUUACAGCAGAGAAGUGGAACGCUCCUUUGUCAGUUUCAGCUUGCUGGCUGAGACCUGUAAGUACAGCCUUCCAGAACAGACUGAAGUUGGAAGCCAGUUGAGGCACAUCAGAGUUUAUGGCAAAACAGCAGUACAUAUGUUCUUCCUAUUUAAAUUUAAUGUGGGAAAAUGAUCCAAUAAAAGAUUAAAGUGAUCAAAAUUAACACAACAAAACUUUAUCAAGUCAAAAACACUUGGAGCCUAAAGUGAAAAACAUGAUAUAGCACAUUUAAUAAUGAGAUGCUUUUAAGUCUUCAAUAAUCUCAAAUAUACUCUUACUGAGCAAUUAUCUGGGUCAGUUGUUCUCAGAUAUGACAUACUUCUCAGUGGCAAGAAUGGCUCACCCUGCAUGACUCUGGGGAGACAUAAGGAAAAAAUAGAAGUGAAAUGAGACAUUCUCCCCCAGCAAUGUUUUGCAAAAGUUCUUCAGGUGAUUCUGAUUGGUCUCAAUUCCUCUUCUUUUAAAAAAAAUCACUGACCUGAUCUAAUCAGCUAAUUUUAGGGAAAAGGACACCAAGGCACGGAAAGAAAGAUAAAGUUAGUCAUAGAAAACUUGAAGUCCAGCUAAUGGUGAGUCAGGCAGAGAAUCUAGCUCUGUUUCUGCUUCAAACAUUUUCCUUUUUAUACAAUGGUACAGACGGUUUCCCUUGUAAUUAUUUCAAAAUUCACUUGGUCAUGUAAUUUUUCUUUAGUAUCAUCAACUGAAUGUAAAGAAGUGUAACCAUGGUACCUAUAAUACCAUAUAUACCAUAUGUAUCAUAAGGUAAUGAUACAUAUAAUUAUGUAUCAUAAGGUAAUGAUACAUAUAAUUAUGUAUCAUAAGAUACAAGGAUUUCAACAGUUAUUCUGAAUUUCAACAGCCACCUUUUUUUUUAACACCAUAGUUAAUUUGUCCUGCUAUAUACAUAAUGAGCUGGAAAAUAUAGCAAAAUUAGGAGAGGGCAUACCUUAUUUUUUUAAGUUUUAACUUAAUCAGUGGUGGUAAUUUUACUUAACUUCAGUUUCAUCAACAGAAGUUAUUUAGGAAAAAAAUUCACCUUCUAAGAGUUGAACCAUAUUGUGUGAAGAUUCUUUGUAUCCCUGAAGUGAAUUACUGGCCAAAACAAAGGCUGUAAAAGCCCAUGGCUACAUCUGUUACCUGUUUAGGUGUCUUUAAAACAUAUUUACAUUUAAAAAAUUGAAAUUCCCUUUCCUCUCUCGGUCGUCACUUGGUAAAUUGUCAGUAUGGUCUGAUCUUUUAAGAAAAACUGUCUCUUUAAAAUCGUGGUAAAACACAGAACUUAAAAAGCUAAUUUCUAUUUCAGUGAAUCAAAGAACAGCGAUUAAACACAAGGUUCCUUCAAUGAUGUUCUAUCACAGCCUUCAUGUUUCCCAUCACACUACAUAUGGUCCAAUUGUUUACAGAUUACAAAAAAAAUCCCUGCUCAGAUGUUAAAACAAGAUGUUUUCUUCACUUUCAAAUGGCAGGCUGACUGCCAAUUUUUACAAUUAGUUAUUCUGUGCAAAGAAAAAAAAAAGAAGUUUAAUUAUCACAAUUUCUCAUGUUUGGACAUUACUCUGUGAUGGGCAAUCAACCUGAGAACUGACAGAAAUGAACUCUGGUUCAUGACAUUGGUGGAAGGCUCUUGGGAAGACAGCUUUUUGUAAGAGAGAAAAUAGCAAAAUAGAAAGGGGAAAGAAUCUUCGCCAGAAAUAGGUAUCGAAACAUCAAGGCAAACCAGCCACCUGCCAGUGAUGCUGUUUCCCUGUGGCACCGUCUGGCAGGCAGAAUUUCACAGUGUUAAACAAUAGUGCUGUGUACACCAUGAGUGCACCUAUCAAUGGGUCACUGACUCUCUAAAAAGACUUGCUGAUGGAGGUAGAGUGAUUACAGGAGAGCAACAAACUGAUGGUAGAAAGCCUCCUGUUCAGAUGCCGGAUCCCUGGUAUUGCAUGCGCUCAAAAUUGGGAUCCUCAUUUUUUAAAGGAAUUAUUUGUAUCUGCAUUAAAUUAUGAUUGAUAGAAUUGUUAACAGAAAGUUGAAGAAAAUAGAUUAAUGAACUAUAUACGUAGAAUUCCAUGCUACACACACACACACACACACACACACACACACACAUCAGUAUCCACAUCCCCUCAAGCCUCAAACAUACAAGCCCCCAAGCUGUGCAUAUAAUAGUCGAUUUAAAAACUGCUAUUGGAUAAAUAGUACAUCCAGAAUAAUAACCAGUGACCACAAGAUAGAGGAUCAUUGCUGGUGGAGUUAAAUCAUUUUACUUCAUUUUGAUUGCCUUUUAAUAAGAGUUAUAUAUUAAGAAUCAGAGUUUUAAGAAUUAUUUGGGACAGUGAUAAUAAAUAUUUAUUUCAGGAUGAGUCGGGCUAAUGCAGUGCCCAGCAGAGCUUUUUUUUUUUUUCAUUCUGUCUCUUUUUGUAGGUGGAAGUAGCUGGAUGCCAGUUUUCUGAGAUUUGCCCAAACAUGGAUGACUUGCAUGUUACGAAAGGAUUUUGCCGUGUCAAAUGUUUUCAUUUCGUUUAUUAGUUAAGACAUAUAAUUCAAAACUCUUUGGCCACCUCUAGGAGUAUGUAUUUCAUUAAGAUUAUGUAAAAACUACUAAUAGUUUCACAAUUGAAUACAUAAGUAUGUGCCUAUUUGGGGAGGAAGGGGCAUUCAAAUGACAAUUAACAGUAACAGAGUAACAGAAACUGAAAUCUCCGGCCUACCUCUAGGUCCGUUCCCAAGAAUAACAUUGUUAGUCUCACCCCAAUUCUAUUUAGAAUUUAGUGCUAUUCAUCUGUAUCCUGAUAUAAUCAUUGUUAAAACAAUUAAUUUUGCUCUCAUUACGAAAAAAUAAAGAAUUUACCUAAAACCUAUCUCUUUUCCUCUUGUACAUCGAAGGUUUGUUAUAAUUUUCCAUUCUGCUAAUGAUUCUCAUUUUAAAGCAUUCAAAUUGAUGUUAAUUGCAUAAGGAAUACAGUAAUAUUUCCUCCUGAUAAAAAUCUAAAAUGUUACAAAUAAGGCUGUUACCCCUUUGAUUCUCAUUUUGAUCUACACAAAUAAUUGAAUAUUUGUAAGGCUGUGAUACAAUAAUCACAAAUAAGUGAUACAAUAAUCACUUUGGCCUCCCAAAGUGCUGGGAUUACAGGCAUGAGCCACUGCGUCUGGCCAACAUUUACUUUUAACGUGUUACUGAAACUACUAUUCAGGUUGAGUAUGUACAUAAUGGAAGCUGACUCAAAAUUUAACUGCUCCUAUAAGAAAAAAAACUAUGCAUUUUCAUAUUAUUGUCCAUCCAUUCAUUUAUUCAUUCAUUAAAUUGUGUAUUUAUUAAUGCAGAGCCAGAUAUUAUGAAUACUCAGAUGAUUAAGAACCAUAUAUUACUCUCAAGAAUACACUGUGAAGUGAAAAGAUCAAUGGUCAGUCCCAGACAUCGAUUUCCAAGCAAAUAUUAAGUCAUUAGAUCAAUAGUAGCCAAUAAUAGGACCAAGCCUCUUUCCCUUUGGAUUCCUAUCCAGCUGUUGCCUCUGUGAGCAAUGCAGCUUCCUAAUUUCUUUGGUAUACAAGCUUUUCUACUGUUUUCUUUACAUUUCUAAGGCCUCUGGCCACCACUUUUAACAUCUAGUUUAUUAAUUGUCACUACUUAAGUUAAUCUUUGUUCUAAGAAACAUAUUUUCUCAAAAAGAUCUAGAAAGAGAUAAGUUUCAUUAAUGGAGACUUUUCAUAUUAAAAAGUUGCUGGAAACCGUUUUCUCAUGCUUUUAAAAAAUAAUUAUUUUAAGAAUAAGGUGGUAUUCCAAUAAAGGUCAUAAUUAACAUAAACUUAAUAAAAUUUGACCUAGGGAGGGUUUACUUAAUGUAAGCUUCAUUAGAAAUCUCUUUUAUUCUAAAAUAUUAAACCUAAUCAACCCAAACAAAAUUACUCAGCAUGCUGAAUAUGAUACUGAAUGUAGUUCUGUACAGUGUUUUCUUUAAAUUUGAAAGGUCAAUCCAGACUAUCAACCCAUGACCAGCAAUUACCCAUUACAGAAUCGUCAAUAAUUUUAACUUUGAAAAUAGUAGACAGAAAAUGGGAGUUCAUAAUUAUUUGCUGAAUGAGUGAAUGGGAGCUGGAACAGGACUCAGGCAACCUAGUGUAAUUACAACUAGUUUGUAUUCCCUGGCCCUAGUUACCUCAUCUGCAGAGUGAGAUGCGUGGAUACUGUUCGAUUGUAACAUAUUUUAUAUGUAUUAGGUUGGUGCAAAAGUAAUUGUAAUUUUUGGCCUUACUUUCAUUGGCAAAAACUACAAUUACUUUUGCACCAAUCUAAAUACUUUCUAUAUACUGGUGAAGACAGAAAUUCAAUGAUUCAAAAAUACAAUAGGAAUGUUUUUCCCUUCCAAGUACUUUCAGUUUAGAAAAAUGGCCAAAAUUUCUGUCUGUGAUAGUUCUAAUAUUGAAAAAGUAAAGGUAAUAUAAACCAUAAUAAACAGCAUAAGUAUAUUUUAUGUGAUUAUUUUGAUCAUUUAUUCCCCAAUACUAUAUGACUAUUUCCUGUGUGACAUGCACCCCACCAAGUGCUUAGUAUGUAAUAUAAAAAUAUAGACAUACCUCAUUUUAUUGCACUUUAUUUUAUUGUACUUUGUAUUAUGUUUUUUACAAAUUGAAGGUUUAUAGAAAUUCUGCAUCCAGCAAGUCUAUCAGUGCUCUUUUUCUAAUAGCAUGUCCUCACUUUCUGUCUCUGUGUCACAUUUUGGUAAUUCCCACAGUACUUCAAACUUUUUUAUUAUUAAUAUAUCUGUUACUGUUAUCUGUCAUCAGUGAUCUUGCAUGUUAUUUUUGUAAUUGUAUUGUAAUUGUACUGGGGCACCUGAACUGUGCCCACAGGACAAAUAAGAUGGCAAACUUAAUCAAUAAAUGUUCUGUGUAUUCUGACUGCUCCACCAACGGGUCAUUCCCAUUUCUCUCCAUCUCCUUAGAUCUCCCUAUUACCUGAGACACAAUAUUAUGGAAAUUGGGUUAAUUAAUAACCCUACAGUAACCUCUAAACAUUCAAAUGGAAGGAAGAAUCUCAUCUCUCUCACUUUAAAGCAAAAGCUAUGAAUGAUUAAGCUUAGUGAGGAGGGCAUAUCAAAAGCCAAGAUAGGCCGAAAGCUAGGUCCCUUGUGCCAAACAGCCAAUUCGUGAAUGCAAAGGAAAAGUUAUUGAAGAAAACUAAAAGUGCUCCUCCAGCAAACACACAAUGAUAAGAAAGUGAGAAACUCCUAUUGUUGAUGUGGAGAAAGGUUGAAUGGUCUAGAUAGAAGGUCAAACAAGCCAGAUUUCCUUAAUCCAAAGCCUAAUCCAGAAUAAGACUCUAACUCUCUUCAAUUCUAUGAAUGCUGAAAGAAAGAGAUGAGGAAGCUGAUGAAGAAAAAUUUGAAGCCAGCAGAGGUUGGUUCAUGAGGCUUAAAGAAAGAAGCCAUCUCCAAAACACGAAAGUGCAAAGUGAAGAAGCAAGUGCUGAUACAGAAAUUGCAGCAACCUAUCCAGAAGAUCCAGCUAAGACCUUUGAUGAGUGUAGCUACAUUAAACAAUAUAUUUUCUAUGUAGACAAAACAGCCUUCAAUUAGAAGAUAAUGCCAUCAAGAACUUUCACAGAAAAGAGAGGUCAAUGACUGGCCUCAAAGCUUCAAAGGACAGGCUGACUCUCUAAUAGGUGAAAGGGAGUUGCCUCGUCUCAUGAGACUUUGGACUGUGGACUUUUGAGUUAAUGCUGAAAUGAGUUAAGACUUGGGGGACUGUUGAGAAGGGAUGAUUGUAUUUUGCAAUAUGAGAAGGACAUGAGAUGUGGGAGGGGCCAGGGCUGAAAUGAUAUGGUUUGGAUUUGCGUCCCUGCCCAAAUCUCAUGUAGAAUUGUAAUCCCCAGUGUUGGAGAAGGGGCCUGGUGGGAGGUGAUUGGAUCAUGGGGGAGGAUUGCCCCCUUGCUGUUCUUGUGAUAUUGAGUGAGUUCUCAGGAGAUCUGGCUGAUUAAAAGUGUGUAGCACCUCCCCCUGUGCUGUCUUCCUCCCACUCCAGCCAUGUAAGACGUGCUUGCUUUUCCCUCACCCUCAGCCAUGAUUCUAAGUUUCCUGAGGCCUCCCCAGCCAUGCUUCAUGUACAGCCUGUGGAACCAUGCACCAAUUAAACCUCUUGUCU
RNAcentral lists this long non-coding RNA (6819 nucleotides) under Homo sapiens (human). RNAcentral's name for it is "HSALNT0328194". Lineage: Eukaryota; Metazoa; Chordata; Mammalia; Primates; Hominidae. The record is from RNAcentral.